CAAUAGAUACCCAGGUAGUCCCAGCCGUAAACCGAUGCUCGCUAGGUGUCAGGCAGUGGCGCGACCGUGUCUGGUGCCGCAGGGAAGCCGUGAAGCGAGCCACCUGGGAAGUACGGCCGCAAGGCUGAAACUUAAAGGAAUUGGCGGGGGGAGCACAACAACGGGGUGGAGCCUGCGGUUUAAUUGGACUCAACGCCGGACAACUCACCGGGGACGACAGCAAAAUGUAGGCCAGGCUGAAGACCUUGCCUGAAUCGCUGAGAGGAGGUGCAUGGCCGUCGCCAGUUUGUACUGUGAAGCAUCCUGUUAAGUCAGGCAACGAGCGAGACCCGUGCCCACUGUUACCAGCAUAUCCUCCGGGAUGAUGGGUACUCUGUGGGGACCGCCGGUGUUAAAUCGGAGGAAGGUGCGGGCCACGGUAGGUCAGUAUGCCCCGAAUUUCCCGGGCUACACGCGGGCUACAAUGAAUGGGACAAUGGGUCCCUCCCCUGAAAAGGGCUGGUAAUCUCACAAACCCAUCCUUAGUUCGGAUCGAGGGCUGUAACUCGUCCCG
Molecule: ribosomal RNA, 553 nt
Filed under: uncultured bacterium
Lineage: Bacteria
Description: bacterial SSU rRNA
Rfam family: Archaeal small subunit ribosomal RNA
Source: RNAcentral